This 789-nucleotide ribosomal RNA is filed under the name Curvularia lunata. Its description in RNAcentral is "LSU rRNA". It matches the Rfam family "Eukaryotic large subunit ribosomal RNA", at positions 63 to 875 of the family's 3401-position model. Lineage: Eukaryota; Fungi; Ascomycota; Dothideomycetes; Pleosporales; Pleosporaceae. The record is from RNAcentral.
AACCAACAGGGAUUGCCCUAGUAACGGCGAGUBAAGCGGCAACAGCUCAAAUUUGAAAUCUGGCUCUUUCAGAGUCCGAGUUGUAAUUUGCAGAGGGCGCUUUGGCUUUGGCAGCGGUCCAAGUUCCUUGGAACAGGACGUCACARAGGGUGAGAAUCCCGUACGUGGUCGCUAGCUAUUGCCGUGUAAAGCCCCUUCGACGAGUCGAGUUGUUUGGGAAUGCAGCUCUAAAUGGGAGGUAAAUUUCUUCUAAAGCUAAAUAUUGGCCAGAGACCGAUAGCGCACAAGUAGAGUGAUCGAAAGAUGAAAAGCACUUUGGAAAGAGAGUCAAACAGCACGUGAAAUUGUUGAAAGGGAAGCGCUUUCAGCCAGACUUGCUUGCAGUUGCUCAUCCGGGCUUUUCCCGGUGCACUCCUCUGCAGGCAGCCAGCAUCAGUUUGGCGGUGGGAUAAAGGUCUUUGACACGUUCCUUCCUUCGGGUUGCCAUAUAGGGAGACGUCAUACCACCAGCCUGGACUGAGGUCCGCGCAUCUGCUAGGAUGCUGGCGUAAUGGCUGUAAGCGGCCCGUCUUGAAACACGGACCAAGGAGUCUAACAUCUAUGCGAGUGUUUGGGUGUCAAGCCCGAGCGCGUAAUGAAAGUGAACGGAGGUGGGAACCCGCAAGGGCGCACCAUCGACCGAUCCUGAAGUUUACGGAAGGAUUUGAGUAAGAGCAUGGCUGUUGGGACCCGAAAGAUGGUGAACUAUGCUUGAAUAGGGUGAAGCCAGAGGAAACUCUGGUGGAGGCU